GUCGACAACACAAUCGUUGAGGUGGACAGGAUCGGCGGUUUUC
RNAcentral lists this small RNA (43 nucleotides) under Salmonella enterica subsp. enterica serovar Typhi. Its description in RNAcentral is "StyR-288". The record is from RNAcentral. Lineage: Bacteria; Pseudomonadati; Pseudomonadota; Gammaproteobacteria; Enterobacterales; Enterobacteriaceae.